This 492-nucleotide ribosomal RNA is filed under the name uncultured bacterium. RNAcentral's name for it is "partial 16S ribosomal RNA". It matches the Rfam family "Bacterial small subunit ribosomal RNA", at positions 30 to 507 of the family's 1533-position model. The record is from RNAcentral.
AUUGAACGCUGGCGGCAUGCUUUACACAUGCAAGUCGAACGGUAACAGGCCUUCGGGUGCUGACGAGUGGCGCACGGGUGAGUAAUGCAUCGGAACGUGCCCAGAGGUGGGGGAUAACGCAGCGAAAGCUGUGCUAAUACCGCAUGCGAUCUGCGGAUGAAAGCGGGGGACCAGGCAGCAAUGUUUGGCCUCGCGCCUUUGGAGCGGCCGAUGUCAGAUUAGGUAGUUGGUGGGGUAAAGGCCUACCAAGCCGACGAUCUGUAGCUGGUCUGAGAGGACGACCAGCCACACUGGGACUGAGACACGGCCCAGACUCCUACGGGAGGCAGCAGUGGGGAAUUUUGGACAAUGGGCGCAAGCCUGAUCCAGCAAUGCCGCGUGCGGGAAGAAGGCCUUCGGGUUGUAAACUGCUUUUGUACGGAACGAAAAGGCUCUGGCUAAUACCUGGGGCUGAUGACGGUACCGUAAGAAUAAGCACCGGCUAACUACGUG